UUUGCCGCCACCCAUCAUUUGAUGAACAGUGGCCUGACGACCGAACAAUUUGUAGGACGAGCUCGUCGAUGGCGGAUCGUUGAUUCUCCCCUCUCCAUUCGGCUCUAAACUAAAAUCAUCUGAAUUCAAAUUCUCCAUGACUACAUUUAUGAUUUAUCCGAGGAAAAAUAAAAGUCAAAACACAAAAUUAAUCAGUGAAAGCAAAAAUAAAACAAAUUCGGACGUUACAAACCUGAAAUUCAAUUCUCAAAGCCCAACGCAAUCUUAAAAAAAAAUAAAAUUUGAUUACUUAUGGGAAAAUUUCAAAUCUAAGAGUUUAACAGGGUAUGCUAUUUACAUGGACAGUUUUUA
RNAcentral lists this long non-coding RNA (351 nucleotides) under Olea europaea (common olive). RNAcentral's name for it is "long non-coding RNA (OEUR_LNC008852)". The record is from RNAcentral. Lineage: Eukaryota; Viridiplantae; Streptophyta; Magnoliopsida; Lamiales; Oleaceae.